UAUCCGUGAGUUCCUGCAUCACUCACAGACCUUUCGCCUUUUACUACAAAAAUCCGUGCAGAGGACUUAUAAGACCGGAAUUUAAUAAUUUAUUUUAGCCUUGUCUUUUGAUAGGGC
Lytechinus pictus (painted urchin) is the source of this 117-nucleotide small nuclear RNA. RefSeq annotates it as U5 spliceosomal RNA. The record is from RefSeq and is a predicted model, not a curated record. The transcript has a single exon. Lineage: Eukaryota; Metazoa; Echinodermata; Echinoidea; Temnopleuroida; Toxopneustidae.